Molecule: transfer RNA, 74 nt
Filed under: Gammaproteobacteria bacterium
Lineage: Bacteria; Pseudomonadati; Pseudomonadota; Gammaproteobacteria
Also listed under: 4 other names
Description: tRNA-OTHER
Source: RNAcentral
GUGAGUGACUGGCAAUGAAAAUUGUAGUGGUAAGAAGCGAUAGGUCGCAAGUUCGAAUCUUGCCGGGGGCGCCA